This 330-nucleotide ribosomal RNA is filed under the name Pumilus antiquatus. Its description in RNAcentral is "partial 16S large subunit ribosomal RNA". It matches the Rfam family "Bacterial large subunit ribosomal RNA", at positions 1985 to 2549 of the family's 2925-position model. The record is from RNAcentral. Lineage: Eukaryota; Metazoa; Brachiopoda; Rhynchonellata; Terebratulida; Kraussinidae.
GGCUGGAAUGAAAGGUUGGACGUGGGGAAUCUGUCUCCUAGCAGAUAAUGAAAAUUAACUUUUGAGUGAGGAGGCUCAAAUUUCAUCGUAGGACAAAAAGACCCUGUCGAACUUUAGUAAAAUUAUAAAUAUACCGAGUUAUUUUAUUUUUACUUCUGUUGGGGCAACAGGGGUUGAAAUUAAAGGCCACCCCCAAUUUAAGUUUAAGAGAAUAGGAUUCUCCGCUAAUAGCGAGUUAUAAAGUUACCGCAGGGAUAACAGCGUAAUCCUCCUUGAAAGAUCGUAUUUAGAGGGGGGUUUGCGACCUCGAUGUUGGACUAAGGGCCCCAC